UACGUAGGGUGCAGGCGUUAAUCGGAAUUACUGGGCGUAAAGCGUGCGCAGGCGGUCUGCUAAGACAGGUGUGAAAUCCCCGGGCUUAACCUGGGAACUGCGCUUGUUACUGGCAGGCUGGAGUGUGGCAGAGGGGGGUGGAAUUCCUCGUGUAGCAGUGAAAUGCGUAGAGAUGUGGAGGAACACCGGUGGCGAAGGCAGCCCCCUGGGAUGUGACUGACGCUCAUGUACGAAAGCGUGGGGAGCAAACAGG
RNAcentral lists this ribosomal RNA (253 nucleotides) under uncultured bacterium. RNAcentral's name for it is "partial 16S ribosomal RNA". It matches the Rfam family "Bacterial small subunit ribosomal RNA", at positions 524 to 776 of the family's 1533-position model. The record is from RNAcentral.